CCUACGGGCGGCAGCAGUGGGGAAUAUUGCACAAUGGGCGCAAGCCUGAUGCAGCCAUGCCGCGUGUGUGAAGAAGGCCUUCGGGUUGUAAAGCACUUUCAGCGGGGAGGAAGGCGGUGAGGUUAAUAACCUCAUCGAUUGACGUUACCCGCAGAAGAAGCACCGGCUAACUCCGUGCCAGCAGCCGCGGUAAUACGGAGGGUGCAAGCGUUAAUCGGAAUUACUGGGCGUAAAGCGCACGCAGGCGGUCUGUCAAGUCGGAUGUGAAAUCCCCGGGCUCAACCUGGGAACUGCAUUCGAAACUGGCCGGCUAGAGUCUUGUAGAGGGGAGUAGAAUUCCAGGUGUAGCGGUGAAAUGCGUAGAGAUCUGGAGGAAUACCGGUGGCGAAGGCGGCCCCCUGGACAAAGACUGACGCUCAGGUGCGAAAGCGUGGGGAGCAAACAGGAUUAGAUACCCUUGUAGUC
Molecule: ribosomal RNA, 465 nt
Filed under: uncultured Klebsiella sp.
Lineage: Bacteria; Pseudomonadati; Pseudomonadota; Gammaproteobacteria; Enterobacterales; Enterobacteriaceae
Description: bacterial SSU rRNA
Rfam family: Bacterial small subunit ribosomal RNA
Source: RNAcentral